GUCCUUGUAGCGCAAUGGAUAGCGCGUUGGACUUCUAUUUCAAUGGUCGUAAGUUCAAAUCCUACCUGGGAUG
This 73-nucleotide transfer RNA is filed under the name Trichonephila inaurata madagascariensis. It matches the Rfam family "tRNA". Rfam says of the family: Transfer RNA (tRNA) molecules are approximately 80 nucleotides in length. Their secondary structure includes four short double-helical elements and three loops (D, anti-codon, and T loops). The record is from Rfam by way of RNAcentral. Lineage: Eukaryota; Metazoa; Arthropoda; Arachnida; Araneae; Nephilidae.